ACCCAGCUGAAGAGUUCCAAAUAAGACGAAACGCGCGUCCUGGAU
RNAcentral lists this non-coding RNA (45 nucleotides) under Schistosoma mattheei. The record is from RNAcentral. Lineage: Eukaryota; Metazoa; Platyhelminthes; Trematoda; Strigeidida; Schistosomatidae.